UGCGGUAAUCGGACGGUAGCAAUUACCUCCACCUCCCCCUCCCGUGAUCCACGCCACCUCACCCCUGACCCGCGCCCCCUCCCACCCGUGACCCGUGCUCCCUCCCCUAACCCUAAUCGCCGCCGCACCGCCACUGAUUCGCUCCGCGGAACACCGAACACCAACGCCCGCCGCGCUCCCCUCACCCAAGCCCGCGGCACCACCGAUCCGCGCCGCCGGAACACCCGUGCCCCUCGCUAUCCCCCCACCCUCGUCCGUGCCGCCCCAGAUCACCGUCGCCCUGAGUUGUCGUCGCCCGCCUCGUCGAUCUCCUCUGCACCACCAUAACUCCGUGCGCGAACCUCGCCGAUCUCCGUGCCACCAGAGCUCCGUCGCCUGCCUCGCCGAUCUGCUCCAACCCAUAUCCCAUCCGCCGCCAAGAGCAUCUUAAGGUGGUUUAUGUCUAUUUUGAUCGAGCAGUUUGGCGAGUGGAGAUGUGGAAUUAUACCAUAGUAGUUCAGGAGGAUUGAUAUAGUUGGUGGCUCUUCCUUUCUCGAUCAUAUAUGGUGUUUGCUGCAUGCCUACAUCUCUUCAGAUCAUUCGUUCACAAAGAAAAAACAUCUCAUCAGAUCCAACCUCCACCAGUGACGCCGAUCUAGAGGCGCCGUCAACUGCAAGUCAGUACCAGUUAUAUGAACUUUCUCAUGCCAUGGCUAAUCAUCAACCUUUUCAUUGUGCCUAAUCUUCAAGUGUUAGUUCUGUCUCUAGGAUUGUACAUAUUUGGCAGUACUUGACAGAAUGAGCGAUGGUAAGAGAUCAUUAGACUAUAAUUGUUCAUUUCGGUUAUGGAAUUAUAUUUCACCUUGAAUAUCCCAAUAGUACUCAUGAUUAUCAUUUUCAUUCGGUACUCAUGCUGAUCAAGAUUUGGUCCUUAUGCUUAAGUAAUUGUUGCUGAUCCAGCUCCUUCAAACUGAAUCAGUAGAAGGCUAAAAGUAGAAACAAAUGCCUUCAUGGGAUGCCUAAAAUGACUGGUGCAGGAACUAGGCUUAAAUUGCAGUCAGAAUCAGUACCAUGUGUUAGAAGCAGAUGAUCUCCUGGAUACUUUAAUUAAAGCCACUAUCACAGUUUAAACCAUAUAAAUUAAUUAAGGCCACUAUCACAGUUUAAACCAUAUGAACUAAUAGGAAGCCAUUUGCGGUGAAUCUUACAAUCACGUGCUGCUCUGAAAUGUUCCCAAAAAAACACUUUAACCUUUCGGCUUAAUAUAU
This 1247-nucleotide long non-coding RNA is filed under the name Oryza sativa Indica Group (long-grained rice). RNAcentral's name for it is "lncRNA OsZS97_10G006400". Lineage: Eukaryota; Viridiplantae; Streptophyta; Magnoliopsida; Poales; Poaceae. The record is from RNAcentral.